This 200-nucleotide unclassified non-coding RNA is filed under the name Hymenoscyphus sp. RNAcentral's name for it is "partial internal transcribed spacer 2". Lineage: Eukaryota; Fungi; Ascomycota; Leotiomycetes; Helotiales; Helotiaceae. The record is from RNAcentral.
UUAAGUUCAGCGGGUAUCCCUACCUGAUCCGAGGUCAACCAUAAAAAAUUGAGGGUUGCUGGCAAGCAUCCACCAAGACUCAAUCGCGAGGGUUUAAUUACUACGCGUAGAGCUCGAAUGGCACCGCCACUGAUUUUAAGGCAAGCCGUUACCGGCAGUGCCCAAGACAAGCAUAGCUUGAGGGUUGAAAUGACGCUCGA